GUUUAAGUGAGUCAGCAUCUCAAGACUAGCCAACCCUGGGACACUUAUAAGAUCAUUUCUGCAUGGACAAGAUUAUGAACCAGAUUUGGGGAAGUGGUGAGUUCUCCAAGAACUUACUUGUCAUGACGGAUGAUGAUGGAUGGUCCCUGAGCUCAGUCAUGCUCCUCAUGGAACAGGACACAUUGUAA
RNAcentral lists this long non-coding RNA (188 nucleotides) under Mustela putorius furo (domestic ferret). RNAcentral's name for it is "lncRNA (ENSMPUG00000029223.1)". Lineage: Eukaryota; Metazoa; Chordata; Mammalia; Carnivora; Mustelidae. The record is from RNAcentral.